Molecule: long non-coding RNA, 1158 nt
Organism: Hibiscus syriacus
Lineage: Eukaryota; Viridiplantae; Streptophyta; Magnoliopsida; Malvales; Malvaceae
Exons: 3
Source: RefSeq, a predicted model, not a curated record
CACCGGUUGUCAUAAUGGCCGAUCUGAUUGCAGAGGGGCUCCAUGUUGGGUUUUUUGAUUUGACCGUGGCAGCAAUCCCGGAAACAUGGGGACAUGCCAUAGAGGUUCCUGAGAUCAGAUUAUACAAUGGCGGCUCCUUUCCUUCUGGCGCCUCAGCCGUGUCAUUUGCUAUCCAUGCUGCAAGAAUAUUAACUCCUGGUGCUGCAAUAUCAGGCUGCAAGACAUUCAAUUUUAUAGCUUCAUCAAUAGCAGCUUAGGAAGAAACAAGUUCUGAAACAAUGAAGCAGACAAGGGUUACCUUGAGAAUGUUCUUUGGGAUGGUUGAAGGACCUCUAGAUGAGAAAUAUGCUAUGGUAGGUGCUGGUGUGUACUUUGUGGGUGAUGUAGUACGCAAGAUUGUGGCAACUGGGUUUCUACAAAUCUCAAAAUGGAUAAAAUUAGAAGUUUAAAACAUGAUCUAAUUGGGAUUAGUUUGACUAGGGUAGCUGUAUUACUUUGUUGAGUUGAUGUAGGAAAGAACCUUGGUGUUGUCCUCUGUACGGAUCACCGAUGUGGGAAAUGUACCAUAUGAGGAAGCGAGCUGUCUUGAUUCAUCAUCAAUCACGACUGCUCCAACACCUCCUAGCUUCUUCACUUCAUCCUUUUUCUCACUCACCGAGUAGAAGUUAUCUACAUGCUCACAUACAACAAUCUUUCCUUUGACGAGUUCUUGAUCCAAGGAAUCUGGGUGGCAGUUCCUAGAACAAAACGAGUGAUUGGAAUAACCAUUCAUUUCAUUUGGGGGGACUUUUGAAUGUCGGCAAAAUGAAUGCCUCCACCCUGUGUACGAGUUAAAAGAAGAGAAAUGACGAAUCCCACCGACUGAAAAACAAGAAAAAGGAUAAAGAAGAGGAUCACUACCUUAAUUACUGAGUUGUCACCUAGUAUAACAUCAGACUCAAAAUCCCGGUCAAUUGUGCUAGCGGCAACAGUUAUGAUCCAAGGUGCGGCAUUCACAACUGAUCCAGGGUCGGGUCCAUCAUUGCCUGCAGAGCAAACCACAGUAAUUCCAUGUUGCACCGCGUGGAAUGCUCCUAGGGCAAUGGGAUCAUCUGUGAUUUGUGGUUUUAUAAACGAUGAUGACCCAAGGGACAGUGAUAAAACAUCAACCCCAUCGGC